CUUUUUUAUUUUUAUUUUUUUUUUAAUACAUACUAGCUACAGAUAAGGAAAACAUCAAAGCUAAUCCAAAAGAAGGAAUUUUUAACUCUGAUGAGCUCAUCUCCCACCAGAUAGCUCAAUAGCAAGCUGGUUAUAUGAUGAAUCAUCUCCCCACUCAAAUCUUCUCUGCAAUCUUUCAUAUUCUUGCCUGCGUGUAUCCUCAACAUGCUGCCAUUCUUCCCAUCUCUCGGCCAGACCCUCUCCUUCCAGCAUCCGUA
RNAcentral lists this unclassified non-coding RNA (257 nucleotides) under Hevea brasiliensis (rubber tree). Lineage: Eukaryota; Viridiplantae; Streptophyta; Magnoliopsida; Malpighiales; Euphorbiaceae. The record is from RNAcentral.